UCUGACCGCUCUAGAGAUAGAGUUUUCCUUCGGGACAGAGGUGACAGGUGGUGCAUGGUUGUCGUCAGCUCGUGUCGUGAGAUGUUGGGUUAAGUCCCGCAACGAGCGCAACCCCUAUUGUUAGUUGCCAUCAUUCAGUUGGGCACUCUAGCGAGACUGCCGGUAAUAAACCGGAGGAAGGUGGGGAUGACGUCAAAUCAUCAUGCCCCUUAUGACCUGGGCUACACACGUGCUACAAUGGCUGGUACAACGAGUCGCAAGCCGGUGACGGCAAGCUAAUCUCUUAAAGCCAGUCUCAGUUCGGAUUGUAGGCUGCAACUCGCCUACAUGAAGUCGGAAUCGCUAGUAAUCGCGGAUCAGCACGCCGCGGUGAAUACGUUCCCGGGCCUUGUACACACCGCCCGUCACACCACGAGAGUUUGUAACACCCGAAGUCGGUGAGGUAACCAUUUGGAGCCAGCCGCCUAAGGUGGGAUAGAUGAUUGGGGUGAAGUCGUAACAAGGUAGCCGUAUCGGAAGGUGCGGCUGGAUCACCUCCUUU
This 541-nucleotide ribosomal RNA is filed under the name Listeria monocytogenes. RNAcentral's name for it is "bacterial SSU rRNA". It matches the Rfam family "Bacterial small subunit ribosomal RNA", at positions 990 to 1533 of the family's 1533-position model. The record is from RNAcentral. Lineage: Bacteria; Bacillati; Bacillota; Bacilli; Caryophanales; Listeriaceae.